Molecule: long non-coding RNA, 667 nt
Organism: Lathyrus oleraceus (garden pea)
Lineage: Eukaryota; Viridiplantae; Streptophyta; Magnoliopsida; Fabales; Fabaceae
Exons: 2
Source: RefSeq, a predicted model, not a curated record
UAUCCUUCGGCAUAAUUUUUAUUUACACUACAAAAUAUCCUUAUUGGUAAUUGACUAAAUGACCUCAACAUUGAACAAAUUCUUUCUUCUCUCUCGUCUCUCUCGUCCCUCUCAAAUCUCCCUCUUUCCAUUUCAAAAAUUUCAGAAAAACAUAUUUUCCUAAUCUCUUUUCAUACCCAUUACAUCCCAUUGACGUGUUUUCAUAGAGAAAAUAGAGAAAUUCUCUCUCAAUCUUCAUAUCUCUUCUUCAUUUUCCAUCAAUAUUUACCUUCUAUCACUUUCAAUGUCCAUCAAAUAUUGGGUAGAACCUUGAGACAGAUCCAAGACUAGGGUAGACACAUCUACGGUGGUUAGGAUUCAUCAUCCAUGCAGUGUGAGCUUCAAUUCUAGCAAGCGAAUUCGGCAAAGAAAUUAGCUUAUACCGAUUGACAACAGAGUUGGCAAAGAAAUUGCAACUGAUCUUAAAACAAAUCUAGCAAGAAACAAGACCUUCUAUACGUAUUCAAAUGGAAGAAAUUUCAUAGAACGGGUAUGUCUCACAGUUUUAGUGAUUAUUUUCUAGAUAUAGUUUUUCAAUGAUGCCAAAUAUGAUGAAGUCUUAACUGGUACAAUGAUAUGUACUUUUACAGGUUCGAGACUAUAGAAAAUACUAGAAAUUAGAAGUAAA